GAGAUCUACACCUGCAUCAAUAGUUGAC
RNAcentral lists this small RNA (28 nucleotides) under Bombyx mori (domestic silkworm). RNAcentral's name for it is "ovarian small RNA-15728". Lineage: Eukaryota; Metazoa; Arthropoda; Insecta; Lepidoptera; Bombycidae. The record is from RNAcentral.